Molecule: ribosomal RNA, 235 nt
Filed under: uncultured microorganism
Description: partial 16S ribosomal RNA
Rfam family: Archaeal small subunit ribosomal RNA
Source: RNAcentral
GUGCACCAGGCGCGAAAGCGCGACGGGGCCACCCCGAGUGCCGCCCGCUGAGGGCGGCUUUCCCCGGUGUAGACAGCCGGGGGAAUAAGGGGAGGGCAAGUCUGGUGUCAGCCGCCGCGGUAAUACCAGCUCCCCGAGUGGUGGGGACGAUUAUUGGGCCUAAAGCGUCCGUAGCCGGCCCGGCAAGUCUCCCGUUAAAUCCAGCGAUCUAAAUCGCUGGACUGCGGGAGAUACU